Long non-coding RNA from Pipra filicauda (Wire-tailed manakin), 3156 nucleotides. RefSeq lists it as uncharacterized. The record is from RefSeq and is a predicted model, not a curated record. The transcript is spliced from 7 exons. NCBI's taxonomy places the organism in Eukaryota, Metazoa, Chordata, Aves, Passeriformes, Pipridae.
UGGGAAGGGAGUACUUGUAUCUUCUGUGGUACUGAGCAGCAACUCCUUUUUGUGACCAAGAAAGAAAAGAAAAACACACCGAGUUACGCUUCCUGGCACCUUUUCCAGCUCCUCUGGAGAACUUGGCCCUUGCUAGUCAGCAAGAAGACCUUGAGCAAGAGAAGAAUCUCCUCCUGCCAAGCUUUCUUCCCCAGCAGAGGCCAACUUGUAGUAACGCGGUGUGGAGAUGAGUCAGUGCAAAAUGGACUUGGUAAACACUUUUACCCUCCUUCUCCAGAGACAGCUGCACUUAUUGCUUCAUCCAAGAACCACUGAGGGGGAGAGGGAUUGAACACUCCUCACUGGAAUCCUGGGCAGCAGCUCCUGUGAAGAACAGGUACCUGAGGAGCAUGAGAGAAAAGCUGGGAUUGUAUCUGGAACGAGCUCUCUGCAGCUCUGGGAGAAUAACAACCAGCUCUUUGGGUAAGGGACAAUGCUCUGAGGAUUGUUCAGCUGGACCUAAAAGUUUUUGGGCUGUGAAAUGUAGAAUUAGAGAAAAUGUGGGAUUAGAGAAGCAUGGAAGAUAACUACAGAGUUCCCUGCAAAUGAAGACUCUGGCUUUACAUACUUGGCCUCUGGGAAAAAAUACAGGCAGAAUUGGCUUGUAAAGCAGAAAACAUGUUGGUUCUUCAUCCAGUUUUGAAACAAAAAACCCCCAGACAACAAAAGCAUUCAUUUGGGUUUUUACACCACCAGAUGACUGUCUAAAACAUGUAUUCUCAAUCACUGUCUGUGUGUAUAUUUAGUACAAAACCAUGUUUAUGCAACCAAAGAUAAGCCAAGAGACUUGUGUUAUCAUGUGAUGUUAGCAAACUUACUCUCACAGGAAGACAAAUAGUUUAUUAAGCAUCCUGACCCUGGAAUUUGAGCACCUCUGCUUUUCCAUCCAUAAAUCCUCCUAAAUCGAUGGCUUCUGGGUGUUGAUGGCUCGCCUUAGGCCCUCUCUACAUACCAUCCUUAGGGAAGGAAGCUUGGGAUAUCUGUUUCAGGUUCCAGCUGCUGUGCUGGGGGAUGUGAGAAGCGUGCUCAGGCUCAUUAAAUCUGCAGGACUUGGAAGCUGUGCCCGUGGUGACACCACAGACAACAUUCCAGUGAGACCCAAGCGCUGGAACUCUUUGGCAUCAAGCACAGCCCAUGUGAGAGCUCAGGAGCAGUUCCAGAGCCGACUCCAACACGUCUCCUUGUUUUUCAGCUGCUGACAUAGAGGUGGUUUUUUAAAAAAAGUCCAAAAUGAAACAGAUGUCCUUGGGGAAGCUGGAGAUGGAAAUAUUUCUCGUGUGAGCCAUCUCACACACAUGGACUGGAGGCUGCUUUGGGAGGUUUCUCCAGAGACCAGAGACCUUUCCCGCAGGUUGUGGGGAGCAGAGCUUUUUCCUGCCUGGAAUUUGGUGGGCAAAACACGACACAGUGCUUGAGGUGGAAUUCUUAAGCACCCAGAGGAUAAAAUCCUACAGGAAUAUAUUUCCCCAGGCUAAGAGAGGACAGUACUUUUUAAAAACAUGGAUAAGCCAGCUAUGCUGCUGCGCCAUCUCAGUUGUUUCCAACUACAGGCAGAGAUCCAGAGACAUCCUGGAUCCGAAAGAUCCACUCUGGAUUCCAAGAGAAGGAAUCUUUCCCUUUAAGCCUGCUCAUUUCUUCAGUUUAACACAACCAACCUGAAAUACUCUAUUUCUUUUAAACUCUGGUUGCUUUUGAAUUGCUUUCAUCUAGAGUGUGAAAUUCCAAGUCACUGUGAAAAAGCUGCCUUAGGAAUAUUCUUGGCGAUGCUGCAAGCAGAAAGUACAGGAAACCUCCCAAGAGAGGUUGUUCCAGCAACACUGCCAUCCACGUUUCACAGCUGCAGGGACAUCCAGAGCAAAUCCAAACACCAGCUUUUCCCUUCAACAGAGCCUUUGCUGAGGUACAGCUGCCCAGGAUCCAUCCCUGGAAGUGUGCAAGGCCAGGCUGGACGGGGCUUGGAGCAACCUGGGACAGUGGAUUAUUCUUCCAGAGGAAUAAAGGAGGUUCUGUUCCAGCUUUUGAGGAUACACCAACUCCCAAAAGGCAUCCUGGGGCCUGUUGUUAUUUUGGGAUGCCUCAGCCCCAGCUGGAUUCAGACAGAAGUUAACCAACAGCAUUUAAUUACAGCCACAUCAGAGGCUUGUGUCAAACAGUGCAGUCCAUACAGAAAAUGGAAAGUAAUUGUGUAAGGACUGAAGACCUUAAAUCAUAUAAGUGGAAGGAGUAAAGAGAAUUCAGGUUCAAAGUGGAAACAGCACCUUAGUGCAGCAAAAGCCCCCCAGCCUGGCAGGAUUUGGCAUUUUGGAGUGCAAUAGCCAAGGGAAUGAGUUGGAAGAGGCUAAAGUUGCCCAGGAUUUGCACCCAAAAUGUGUGAUCUUGAUGCUUCAGGGGCAAGGCAAUGUGAAGGGACAAUGAAUAUACGUGAGGGAGCAAAGACAAGGCAUGGGAUCAAGCCAUAAGGAAUUGAUCUACUCUGUAAUAAACUGGUUGUUCGGGGCUGCCUUUCAUCCCUGUCAGGGAGAUGCCAUGAGCACCACCCACGGAAUACACGGGUUUUAAAGAGCAAAAGCUGAGGAGGCUGAGGUCAAGCAAGGACAAGUAAACUCCGACUGGAAUUGCUCUUAGCGAGGGGCCUCGUUUGUUUUUGGACUCCUGUGCGAAGUCAGGAGCAAAGAAGGCACUUAGAUUCCAGGAGCGGGAAGUUUUGGAACAGAAGCAGACAGAAGAUAUUGCCGUGGUGGGGCUAAAAGUGAGACAGAACAUUUUCCUUACUCCUGAGGGAUGUGCACUGGGAACAGGCAAAAGGUGGGUGCAUCCAAGUGACAAGAAGGUUUUGCUAUGAAAUGAGAACAUACAGCAUAAAAUCUCCAGCACUUAAUAAAUAUAAGAGUAAACCAAACAUUUUCCUCCUUCUCCCAACAAAACAACUUGGCAAAUGCAUCGGCAAAGGCAGGUGAAUAAUCGAGUCACUCUUGGUUCUCAGCUCUCCAGGGAAUUUCAGGUACUUUGGAAUCUUGUGGCUCAUGGCAUGGCAAUAACGUGAAGUUCUUAGAUUGGGCAUUUUUAGAGUUUUCUUCUUCUUUUUGUCUACAUACAAAUUUUUUUUGUGCUAGCAAG